RNAcentral lists this ribosomal RNA (478 nucleotides) under uncultured bacterium. RNAcentral describes it as "partial 16S ribosomal RNA". It matches the Rfam family "Bacterial small subunit ribosomal RNA", at positions 28 to 523 of the family's 1533-position model. The record is from RNAcentral.
GACGAACGCUGGCGGCGUGCUUAACACAUGCAAGUCGAACGGUAAGGCCCUUCGGGAUACACGAGUGGCGAACGGGUGAGUAACACGUGGGUGAUCUGCCCUGCACUUCGGGAUAAGCCUGGGAAACUGGGUCUAAUACCGGAUAGGACCACUGCCUGCAUGGGUGGUGGUGGAAAGCUUUUGCGGUGUGGGAUGGGCCCGCGGCCUAUCAGCUUGUUGGUGGGGUGAUGGCCUACCAAGGCGACGACGGGUAGCCGGCCUGAGAGGGUGACCGGCCACACUGGGACUGAGAUACGGCCCAGACUACUACGGGAGGCAGCAGUGGGGAAUAUUGCACAAUGGGCGCAAGCCUGAUGCAGCGACGCCGCGUGAGGGAUGACGGCCUUCGGGUUGUAAACCUCUUUCAGCACCGACGAAGCGCAAGUGACGGUAGGUGCAGAAGGAGGACCGGCCAACUACGUGCCAGCCGCCGCCGUAA